CACGUAGGGUGCGAGCGUUGUCCGGAAUUAUUGGGCGUAAAGAGCUCGUAGGCGGUGUGUCGCGUCGGCCGUGAAAACCUGCAGCUUAACUGUGGGCGUGCGGUCGAUACGGGCAUCGCUGGAGUUCGGCAGGGGAGACUGGAAUUCCUGGUGUAGCGGUGAAAUGCGCAGAUAUCAGGAGGAACACCGGUGGCGAAGGCGGGUCUCUGGGCCGAUACUGACGCUGAGGAGCGAAAGCGUGGGGAGCGAACAGG
RNAcentral lists this ribosomal RNA (254 nucleotides) under uncultured bacterium. RNAcentral's name for it is "partial 16S ribosomal RNA". It matches the Rfam family "Bacterial small subunit ribosomal RNA", at positions 524 to 776 of the family's 1533-position model. The record is from RNAcentral.